AGGGCAUCAAAGGCAGAGAAGGAACAAAGGGGCUUCCCGGCAGCCCAGGACAGAAGGGAAUUCGAGGGCCAGAUGGUCCUAAAGGGAAACCUGGUCGUCCAGGGCCCCGAGGCGUUCCGGGACAGAAAGGUUACCGAGGACCACC
Colossoma macropomum (tambaqui) is the source of this 145-nucleotide long non-coding RNA. RefSeq lists it as uncharacterized. The transcript is spliced from 3 exons. NCBI's taxonomy places the organism in Eukaryota, Metazoa, Chordata, Actinopteri, Characiformes, Serrasalmidae. The record is from RefSeq and is a predicted model, not a curated record.